AUUGAACGCUGGCGGCAGGCCUAACACAUGCAAGUCGAGCGAGCGGCGGACGGGUGAGUAAUGUCUGGGAAACUGCCUGAUGGAGGGGGAUAACUACUGGAAACGGUAGCUAAUACCGCAUACCCUCAGAUGUGCCCAGAUGGGAUUAGCUAGUAGGGGGGGUAACGGCUUACCGAGGCGACGAGCCCUAGCUGGUCUGAGAGGAUGACCAGCCACACUGUAACUGAGACACGGUCCAGACUCCUACGGGAGGCAGCAGUGGGGAAUAUUGCACAAGGGGCGCAAGCCGUAUGCAGCCAUGCCGCGUGGGUGAAGAAGGCCUUCGGGUUGUAAAGCACUUUCAGCGGGGAGGCGUUACCCGCAGAAGAAGCACCGGCUAACUCCGUGCCAGCAGCCGCGGUAAUUC
Molecule: ribosomal RNA, 406 nt
Filed under: uncultured bacterium
Lineage: Bacteria
Description: partial 16S ribosomal RNA
Rfam family: Bacterial small subunit ribosomal RNA
Source: RNAcentral